Molecule: long non-coding RNA, 306 nt
Filed under: Salmo salar (Atlantic salmon)
Lineage: Eukaryota; Metazoa; Chordata; Actinopteri; Salmoniformes; Salmonidae
Description: lncRNA (ENSSSAG00000121083.1)
Source: RNAcentral
AGCAUCCACCACGGUGACUUCAUCAGCCACACUCUUCACAGCAAGUGACGGGAUGGCAGAAAAUUCAUUCCUAAACGUUUCAAUGGGAACGAGCUUUAACACUGGGACAAGAAAGCCGUGUACAAAAAAAACUAUUGAAAAGAAGCGUUCUCUGUGGGGAUGGGAAUGGAAAGUGUGGUCUGUGCUGGUGUACGGUGUGCACACGGAGUAACCAAUUUGUAGCCAAAAUGUUCAUGGAUAUUCUGCAAAAAAAAUAGAUUUUAUUUCGGCAGUGCAUCGUUGCUGCAGGCUGCAUCCCUAACUAAC